Molecule: transfer RNA, 71 nt
Filed under: Loxodonta africana (African savanna elephant)
Lineage: Eukaryota; Metazoa; Chordata; Mammalia; Proboscidea; Elephantidae
Rfam family: tRNA
About the family: Transfer RNA (tRNA) molecules are approximately 80 nucleotides in length. Their secondary structure includes four short double-helical elements and three loops (D, anti-codon, and T loops).
Source: Rfam by way of RNAcentral
GCAUUGGUGAUUCAGUGAUAGAAUUCCCACCUUCCAUGUGGGGAGCCUGGGUUUGAUUCCCACUCAAUGCA